UUUACUAUAGCUUGACACUGAACAUUGAGCCUUGAUGUGUAGGAUAGGUGGGAGGCUUUGAAGUGUGGACGCCAGUCUGCAUGGAGCCGACCUUGAAAUACCACCCUUUAAUGUUUGAUGUUCUAACGUGGACCCGUAAUCCGGGUUGCGGACAGUGUCUGGUGGGUAGUUUGACUGGGGCGGUCUCCUCCUAAAGAGUAACGGAGGAGCACGAAGGUUGGCUAAUCCUGGUCGGACAUCAGGAGGUUAGUGCAAUGGCAUAAGCCAGCUUGACUGCGAGCGUGACGGCGCGAGCAGGUGCGAAAGCAGGUCAUAGUGAUCCGGUGGUUCUGAAUGGAAGGGCCAUCGCUCAACGGAUAAAAGGUACUCCGGGGAUAACAGGCUGAUACCGCCCAAGAGUUCAUAUCGACGGCGGUGUUUGGCACCUCGAUGUCGGCUCAUCACAUCCUGGGGCUGAAGUAGGUCCCAAGGGUAUGGCUGUUCGCCAUUUAAAGUGGUACGCGAGCUGGGUUUAGAACGUCGUGAGACAGUUCGGUCCCUAUCUGCCGUGGGCGCUGGAGAACUGAGGGGGGCUGCUCCUAGUACGAGAGGACCGGAGUGGACGCAUCACUGGUGUUCGGGUUGUCAUGCCAAUGGCACUGCCCGGUAGCUAAAUGCGGAAGAGAUAAGUGCUGAAAGCAUCUAAGCACGAAACUUGCCCCGA
RNAcentral lists this ribosomal RNA (703 nucleotides) under Salmonella enterica subsp. enterica serovar Infantis. RNAcentral's name for it is "partial 23S ribosomal RNA". It matches the Rfam family "Bacterial large subunit ribosomal RNA", at positions 2100 to 2802 of the family's 2925-position model. Lineage: Bacteria; Pseudomonadati; Pseudomonadota; Gammaproteobacteria; Enterobacterales; Enterobacteriaceae. The record is from RNAcentral. RNAcentral also lists the same sequence under 2 other names.